This 253-nucleotide ribosomal RNA is filed under the name uncultured bacterium. RNAcentral describes it as "partial 16S ribosomal RNA". It matches the Rfam family "Bacterial small subunit ribosomal RNA", at positions 524 to 776 of the family's 1533-position model. The record is from RNAcentral.
UACGUAGGGUGCAAGCGUUAAUCGGAAUUACUGGGCGUAAAGCGUGCGCAGGCGGCUUUGCAAGACAGAUGUGAAAUCCCCGGGCUCAACCUGGGAACUGCAUUUGUGACUGCAUGGCUAGAGUGCGGCAGAGGGGGAUGGAAUUCCGCGUGUAGCAGUGAAAUGCGUAGAUAUGCGGAGGAACACCGAUGGCGAAGGCAAUCCCCUGGGCCCCCACUGACGCUCAUGCACGAAAGCGUGGGGAGCAAACAGG